RNAcentral lists this ribosomal RNA (460 nucleotides) under uncultured bacterium. Its description in RNAcentral is "partial 16S ribosomal RNA". It matches the Rfam family "Bacterial small subunit ribosomal RNA", at positions 338 to 795 of the family's 1533-position model. The record is from RNAcentral.
CCUACGGGAUGCAGCAGUGAGGAAUAUUGGUCCAUGGGCGUAAGCCUGAACCCGCCAAGUCGCGUGAGGGAUGAAGGUUCUAUGGAUCGUAAACCUCUUUUAUAAGGGAAUAAAGUGUGGGACGUGUCCUAUUUUGUAUGUACCUUAUGAAUAAGGAUCGGCUAACUCCGUGCCUGCAGCCGCGGUAAUACGGAGGAUCCGUACGUUAUCCGGAUUUAGUGGGUUUAAAGGGUGCGUAGGCGGCCUUUUAAGUCAGCGGUGAAAGUGUGUGGCUAAACCAUAGAAGUGCCGUUGCAACUGAGGGGCUUGAGUAUGUUUGAGGCAGGCGGAAAGCGUGGUGUAGCGGUGAAAUGCUUAGAUAUCACGCAGAACCCCGAUUGCGAAGGCAGCCUGCCAAGCCAUGACUGACGCUGAUGCACGAAAGCGUGGGGAUCAAACAGGAUUAGAUACCCUAGUAGUC